Stylophora pistillata is the source of this 805-nucleotide long non-coding RNA. The record is from RefSeq and is a predicted model, not a curated record. NCBI's taxonomy places the organism in Eukaryota, Metazoa, Cnidaria, Anthozoa, Scleractinia, Pocilloporidae.
GUCUUUGCGAUGAACCUGCUCCUCUAGAGAAUGGCUACAGUAUAGGAGAUGAAUUUUGGGAAGGAAAAAAUGUCACCUUUAAGUGCAACAAAGGAUACCAGCUUAGAGGACCACACGUCAGGAUUUGUAAAGAGAAUGGAAACUGGAUAGAAGAAGGACCAACAUGUGAAGGUCCGGAGUUUGAGCACUCAGAAAUCCUCCUGAACAAAACUGAAUACUGGGAGCUGCUCAAAGGUUGGCUGGGUCCUGUGUCUACUCUGCCAGCCAAGUGGAAACUAUGCUACAGAGCUACUGAUCAUGGAUGGAGCUCCAGUACAUUCCAUUCACAGUGCAACAGCUUAGGACCAACGGUGACGUUUAUUAGAGUGAGAGAAUACAUUUUUGGUGGAUACACAGACAGGAACUGGCACUCGGGUGGCUCUUAGUUAGAUUCGACCUAUAGCUUCAUAUUCUCUUUUAAAAACCAUUAUGGACUGGAGCCAUUUAAACUUCAUGUGAGGAAGAGUAAGUAUGCCAUAUACGGCAAGAUCGGUUACGGCCCAACCUUCGGUGGACACGACAUUUAUAUCGCAAAGUCUGCAGGCUACAACACGAAUUGCUACAUCUACUUGGGACAUUCAUAUGUGUCGCCGGCUGGGUACAAAUACGGUGCGAGUGACACCACAAACCUGUUUGCAGGAAGUUACAAUUUCCAGCCCCAUGAGGUGGAAGUGUUUUAUCAGACUCACAAAGGCUGAUAUUUUUUCACGCAGCAAGGCUUUGAUGAUUUUUGGAAAGAAAUCCUCUGACGGUAAAGUACAAAUGG